CCCCUGGUGGUCUAGUGGCUAAGACUUCAUGCUAGCAAUGCAGAGGGCCUGGGUUUGAUCCCCAGUCAGGGAA
This 73-nucleotide transfer RNA is filed under the name Ovis aries (sheep). It matches the Rfam family "tRNA". From Rfam's summary of the family: Transfer RNA (tRNA) molecules are approximately 80 nucleotides in length. Their secondary structure includes four short double-helical elements and three loops (D, anti-codon, and T loops). Further hydrogen bonds mediate the characteristic L-shaped molecular structure. tRNAs have two regions of fundamental functional importance: the anti-codon, which is responsible for specific mRNA codon recognition, and the 3' end, to which the tRNAs corresponding amino acid is attached (by aminoacyl-tRNA synthetases). tRNAs cope with the degeneracy of the genetic code in two manners: having more than one tRNA (with a specific anti-codon) for a particular amino acid; and 'wobble' base-pairing, i.e. permitting non-standard base-pairing at the 3rd anti-codon position. Lineage: Eukaryota; Metazoa; Chordata; Mammalia; Artiodactyla; Bovidae. The record is from Rfam by way of RNAcentral.